RNAcentral lists this microRNA precursor (67 nucleotides) under Bombyx mori (domestic silkworm). RNAcentral's name for it is "mir-2774 microRNA precursor family". It matches the Rfam family "mir-2774 microRNA precursor family". The record is from Rfam by way of RNAcentral. Lineage: Eukaryota; Metazoa; Arthropoda; Insecta; Lepidoptera; Bombycidae.
ACAACAUUUGGACCGUCGCUCUACCGCGAUAUUUAACCUACUCUGUGGAAGAUCUUCCCUUAGUCGU